Molecule: ribosomal RNA, 443 nt
Filed under: uncultured bacterium
Lineage: Bacteria
Description: partial 16S ribosomal RNA
Rfam family: Bacterial small subunit ribosomal RNA
Source: RNAcentral
CCUACGGGAGGCAGCAGUGGGGGAUAUUGGACAAUGGGGGAAACCCUGAUCCAGCGACGCCGCGUGAGUGAAGAAGUCUCUCGGUAUGUAAAGCUCUAUUAGCAGGGAAGAAAGCAAUGAUGGUGCCUGAGUAAGAAGCCUCGGCUAACUACGUGCCAGCAGCCGCGGUAAUACGUAGGGGGCAAGCGUUAUCCGGAAUUACUGGGUGUAAAGGGAGCGUAGACGGUAAUGCAAGUCUGGAGUGAAAGGCGGGGGCCCAACCCCCGGACUGCUCUGGAAACUGUGUAACUGGAGUGCAGGAGAGGCAGGCGGAAUUCCUAGUGUAGCGGUGAAAUGCGUAGAGAUUAGAAAGAACACCGGUGGCGAAGGCAGCCUACUAGACUGUAUCUGACGUUGAGGCUCGAAAGCGUGGGGAGCAAACAGGAUUAGAUACCCUUGUAGUC